CCAGCACCUGCGGUAAUUCCAGCCCCAAUAGCGUAUAUUUAAGUUGUUGCAGUUAAAAAGCUCGUAGUUGGAUUUCGGGUGGGGUGGUGCGGUCCGCCUCUGGUGUGCACUGCUCCGCUCCACCUUCCUGCCGGGGACGGGCUCCUGGGCUUCACUGUCCGGGACUCGGAGUCGGCGAGGUUACUUUGAGUAAAUUAGAGUGUUCAAAGCAGGCCUACGCUCUGAAUACAUUAGCAUGGAAUAACACGAUAGGACUCUGGCCUAUCUGUUGGUCUGUGGGACCGAAGUAAUGAUUAACAGGGACAGUCGGGGGCAUUCGUACUCAACAGUCAGAGGUGAAAUUCUUGGAUUUGUUGGAGACGAACUACUGCGAAAGCAUUUGCCAAGGAUGUUUUCAUUGAUCAAGAACGAAAGU
This 415-nucleotide ribosomal RNA is filed under the name uncultured eukaryote. RNAcentral describes it as "SSU rRNA". It matches the Rfam family "Eukaryotic small subunit ribosomal RNA", at positions 567 to 990 of the family's 1831-position model. The record is from RNAcentral.